UGCCUACGGGGGGCAGCAGUGAGGAAUAUUGGUCAAUGGCCGAGAGGCUGAACCAGCCAAGUCGCGUGAGGGAAGAAUGUCCUAUGGAUUGUAAACCUCUUUUGUCAGGGAGCAAAGUCACCCACGUGUGGGUGUUGGAGAGUACCUGAAGAAAAAGCAUCGGCUAACUCCGUGCCAGCAGCCGCGGUAAUACGGAGGAUGCGAGCGUUAUCCGGAUUUAUUGGGUUUAAAGGGUGCGUAGGCGAGGCGACAAGUCGGCGGUCAAAUGUCGGGGCUCAACCCCGGCCUGCCGUCGAAACUGCCGU
This 305-nucleotide ribosomal RNA is filed under the name uncultured bacterium. RNAcentral's name for it is "bacterial SSU rRNA". It matches the Rfam family "Bacterial small subunit ribosomal RNA", at positions 335 to 639 of the family's 1533-position model. The record is from RNAcentral.